This 253-nucleotide ribosomal RNA is filed under the name uncultured bacterium. RNAcentral describes it as "partial 16S ribosomal RNA". It matches the Rfam family "Bacterial small subunit ribosomal RNA", at positions 524 to 776 of the family's 1533-position model. The record is from RNAcentral.
UACGAGGGGGGCAAGCGUUGUUCGGAAUUACUGGGCGUAAAGCGUGCGCAGGCGGUUUGUUAAGUCUGCUGUGAAAUCCCCGAGCUCAACUUGGGAAUUGCAGUGGAUACUGGCAGGCUGGAGUAUGGUAGAGGAAGGUGGAAUUCCCGGUGUGGCAGUGAAAUGCGUAGAGAUCGGGAGGAACACCAGUGGCGAAGGCGGCCUUCUGGACCAAUACUGACGCUCAUGCACGAAAGCGUGGGGAGCAAACAGG